Podarcis lilfordi (Lilford's wall lizard) is the source of this 116-nucleotide non-coding RNA. The record is from the annotation of a GenBank genome assembly. NCBI's taxonomy places the organism in Eukaryota, Metazoa, Chordata, Lepidosauria, Squamata, Lacertidae.
AAUAGUAAUAAUAGUUGUUGUUGUUAACAACAACAACAACAACAACAACAACAAUAAUAAUAGUACCGCGCCCAUCUGGCUGGGUUGCCUCAGCCACUCUGGGCGGCUCCCAACAG